Molecule: unclassified non-coding RNA, 253 nt
Filed under: Hevea brasiliensis (rubber tree)
Lineage: Eukaryota; Viridiplantae; Streptophyta; Magnoliopsida; Malpighiales; Euphorbiaceae
Source: RNAcentral
CACCAUUUUUUUUCCUUUUUCUCUCCUAUUCAGCAGCCAGCACCCAGGCGUUACAUUUAUGUAUUGGAAGCUAAAGGAACUCCAUCCAGUCUAUAACAAGGUUAGCAGCAAACGGUCUUCUGCAGAAAGAAACCUGAGAUUAGUAGAUCCUGCUCUUUUGCUUCCAAUUGUGGCUCUUGUUAUCAAAGAAGUGAGAGGAAAAUAAUUAGGAAGAAAGACGGAAAGCAAUAAUCUUUUUUUGAUUUUGGCAGCG